Leopardus geoffroyi (Geoffroy's cat) is the source of this 3596-nucleotide long non-coding RNA. RefSeq lists it as uncharacterized. The record is from RefSeq and is a predicted model, not a curated record. NCBI's taxonomy places the organism in Eukaryota, Metazoa, Chordata, Mammalia, Carnivora, Felidae. The transcript is spliced from 2 exons.
GAUGCGAUGCCAGAGGAGAGAAUACACAGAGAAUACACAAACGCAUGGGGAGAUGCAUUCCUUGAGUCCCACCGCAACUAGUUGGGGACAGCCCAACGCCCUCUAUGUGCUUCAGAACCACACGAUGAUUGCUGCUCUGGGACCCAGCCCUGCUUUCUAGAUCGUUAGCAGCCUGGCCAAGAAGAGACACCUGCUGAGACCGAGGCUCUUAUUUCUGUGCAAGGACACAGCAAAAGCCCAAACUGGCUUCACCCGGUGCUCUGUCAACCUGCGGGUGAGUGUCUGACUCAAGGCUCCUAAACCGGGUCGUUCGUGAUGAUGGAUUGUCUGAGGCUGGGUCCAGCCACUCUCACAUAGAAAGCCACAGGGAGAUUCUACCUGACCAGAGACCAAUGAGCACUGAGUCAGGUCUCCGAGCUGCUGAUAAACCCAAGUAUGGGGCAUCUUUUUUCUUUUUCUCCCAGUCCCAACCGUGACUGAGCUACCAGCCUUGCUCUAUGCACCAGAAGCCCUUUCUUUCAGGUUUGUUUUCUUAGAGAAGCACAAGCCUCUCUGAGACACGUGACGGGCACCUGUUAUUCCAACCACCGAGCAUCCCCUCUCUUCCCUUCCUGGUUAAUAGUGAAUUUCCACAGAGAGCCAUCAGCCAAACCCACUGGCUCAUCCAAACCCCACAGUGUCAGCCAUCAGUUCAGGGGGAGGAAUGUGUCCCAACAGGUCCAAUCAGCGUGACUCUUGGGAUUUCUGGAAAAAGUGACUGGGCAAAGACAGUUUCUCUUAUUGUUAAACUUGAACCUGGAAGGAUGCUCAGCCAGGAUUUCUGGCAGCCAUUGGCCACCAUGCACCAUCUUGAGCGCCAAAGGCGAAGCGGAAAGAUAGUUACCAAGUCCUGAUACGCUUGGUGAGCAUCUUGUUCCGGUCACACCUGAAGCCAUCGCACCCUCGUUGCCACUGCAUGUCCCAAUUAAUCACCUCAUUUUGCUUAAGCCCGUUUGAAUGAGCUUUUCGGUCACUGGCAAACAAUGAUUCCUGACAUCACGUUGGCUAGGAAAAAAGGUGGGAGAGUAACGGCAUUCAUUCUGAGCUUGGAUUACAAAACUACGCUGUCCCUCCGCUUGUCACCCUUCCUGUCUCUGACCUGCACUUUUUCCCCAGGAUCAGCUGCCUCUCCCCACACAGCUCCCUCCUCCCUGCGUGAGCCCUUCAUCCUUCCUUUGUUUCUGUUUUUCCUUUAAUAUGUCACCGAGACUGGCUCCCGCUAAGGGACUCUGACAGCCACCGCUGCCAUGACCCAGACGAAAGACAGGACAAGUUGCCACCAACAAUAAUCGCUUGUCGCUAUGCUGUUGCAGCAAGGAGAAAACACAAACAGGUCCUGUUUGUUAAGCUUUCGUCUCUGGCUGUCACACUCAGAGGGCCACUGCCGGACUGAAGGAGGCAGCUUUGUUUGUGGAAAAAGGAGAAUUUCAGGCUUUCCCAUAACCCUUGUGAGGGGCAGGCCCCGGCCGUAAACAUUAGAGUAGAAAUGUCUUCAAAAUGCCCCUGGUUCUCUAACAAAUGUCUACAAAGAGCUCUGAGAGCUGAACCUCGGGAGGUAAUUACCUCUCCCUUUGGGGGUCUGUCUGUUGGCGCGACUGAAGGCACAGAGGGCUCAGCCUUGGCCCCUUCCUCUUACUCAAGAUAUGGGGUACCUGCGAGGCUCCAUUUUCUCGUUCGUGAAGUGAAGGGUAUUUGUUCCCUCCUUGAAGGAGCUUGUUGUGAUUGAGAUAAUGCAUGUGUGGCUCUCGCACAUCAAGAGCUUGAUUCAUGAGAGCUCGGAUUACGGGGGUUGUUGUCCUCGCGAAAGAAUCAACCGGGCUGGCGACAAGGAAACCCACAGCACUACCACCCGCCAGCGCAGCAUUAAUGCAAACGCGAAGAGCCCUCCUGUGGCUCCUCCCCACGUGUUUCCUAAAUGUCCCAGUAAGGACACACGACUCCGCAGCCGCUCUGACUGUGUGCCGGGCACCGAGCUGACAGCAGGUGGACAAGCCGUCCGGGGCUCACGCUGAGAGCCUAGCACCCCCAAGCCCCGCAGGGCUGGGCAAACGAGGAUGGCUCGCCAGCUAAGCAGAGAGUUUUGCAGCCGUUUAAUCUGCAAAGUGACCUUUCAGGAGAAGUGUUUCAGUUCCCAUUUUACAGGAUUUAACCCUCUUUGGGCAAACACUGGACCAAAGGGAGCCAGAGAACUGAUGAUGCCAAUUCUUGCUGGCCCCCAGGACUUUGAUCCACCAGGACCCCAGGAUUUCGACCCUCCAGAUCCCUGGGACUUUGAUCCAUCAGGACCUGGACUCUGUCAACUUACUGGAUGACUUGUGCCCCAAUUCUAGACUUCCCUUGCCAAGCCCGUCACGAACGUGCAUGCAUCUUUAGCUUAAAACUUGCCCAAUUUUGUUGUUCGGGGGGGAGGGCACCGUUUGGGGAAAAAUCCCCAGUAGACUCCCUAUUUGUUGCACGCAAACCACUUCCUGAUCCCAGGGUCUGGCUUGGUUGUGUCUUUUGGCCCCACUUCUGCCAAGAGACGAACCCACUUUCAGGUGGCACCUUCUCAUUUUCACUCAGCCUUUAUUUCAUUGCCAAAUUCUCACUUGUUAAGAGAUGCUCUUCCAGACCUCCUUGGUUAGGUCAACGUCCUCCCUCCUAAGGCUCUUUCUUGUAUUUUCAUAGCACGUCAUGUGGCUGUUAAUUGACAUUUAUUUAUAGGCUGUUUUGAGUGAGUGCAUGAGACUGAGUGUGUGAGUGUGUGUGUGUGUUGAGUGUGCGUCUGUCCCCCACUGGAACUUACACUGACUGCAGACAGGCAGGCACCACGUGUGAUAUUUUAUUUCAUCUGUUCUACUUCGUCUUACUAAUCACUGUAUCCCCAGCACACAGAGGGGUCUGAUUCAAUUUUUGCUUUUGUUUUGGUUGACUGGUUUGUUUUGAAUGAGGCGAGGAGUCUUGCCUGGGGUGGGUCAACGUGAAUUAGGUUCUCAAGUCACACAGCACCAAGGAAGACACUUAACUCAGGUUCCCUCCCCACCUCCAACUUCCCUAUGCCAGGAAGCCUAGCAGGCUGCAUGGCCUUUGGGCAGAAAGUUCCGGCACCUUAUGCAUCAUGCUCACGAAUCUCGGGCAGCCACUGGGUGUUGGUUCCUACCACCGUUUCCACGUCGUUCCUGAAAGUCGUUGCAUCAUCCUCAGAAGGUUUUCUGGCUCAAAGUGGUGGUUAAGAAGCAAAACUAUUCCCGGGGCUGGAACCAGCCCCUCUGAGCUGCUGGCCAGAACACCAAGGUUUGUACCAGGCUAGUUAAAGGCAACAGACAGACCUUCUUCACGUGUAGCUGAUCCUGGAGUAUGGAGCUUGAACAGAAUCCACUGUCGUCUGUCUUUCAUUUUUGUUUCUGUUGUUGUAUGCUUGUUUUCAUCUAAACGUUUAAAACUUCUACUUUCGCCAAAAAGCAACAUGACGCCCGUGUUUAAAGCGAAGAGGAAUAAAAUCUCAGAUUCUCAAGGGUUCUGUACAAAUGCCAGUUUAUAAGGCAUGUACGUGUCUCUGGGAAAGUCACUUUAUCUCA